AAGUGAUGUUCUCUCUCAUUUGGCAGCAUUUAAUACGUGCUCGUGUGACGCCUGCUGCUUUUAAUCAAGCAUUUGUUUGAAUUAAAUAGUCAUUGCUCGGCUUUUUCUUUUAAUUGUGAAUGCUGGCUGGAUGCAUUAUGGAUGAAAGAUGCAAAGCAUCAUUUUCAUGCUAGCUCAAUUAUAUAUAUUUGGCUUGGAUUUGCUGUAGUUUGGUGUUAAAAGGCCCUGGCAGGGUGAGAUUUGAACUUGUUGUCAGUUUACAAGCUUUUUACUAAUUGCUAUACGUGGUUGACACAUUCUGUGUAAAUAUGUAUUUAUUUAAAUGAAUUCAAAUGCAUAUGUUUACAUGAUUAUCAAAGUACUUUUUUGGGCUUCAUAUGAACCAAAAUGUGUUUCUCUCUCUGUCCUCCAUGACCGUCCUCCGGCCGGAUCUGCUCCCUCCUCGCUGUCUGUCGCUUGUGGAUCUCCUCUGGGUUCCUCUGCCUUUCCUGCGGCUCUCAGAUUGGUGCCAAAAUUGCAAAGCACCUGAUCCCGGACAAGCCCCCAACUUAUAUUACAACCCUGUCAAGGGCUUGUAAAAGGAUGUAGCAUAAAGCACAGCUCUGGCAUCAAUCCUGUGGUGGAACUGAACUCUUCUACUCUGCAGUCGUUCUGACAGGCAGCAGGCUCAGUUGGCUGAGAUAUGCCAAGGUGAAGGAACCCCGAUGAUUUAUGUCACCACUGAAGUAGCCGAGCAUCUUAAUGAGGACAGCAGAGACUCAGGCUCAUGCAGAUGCUGGCAUCACAAACAAGUGAAGGACACAGAUGAUAAAACGAGGCCUGUUCUGCAUCUGCUCACUCAAGAACAAUUACAGCUAAAGUGACCAAAAGAAGGACAAAAACUACUACAACCAACUCCAUUUAUUGUUGUAAUAAUGUUAAAGAAUCCACUUUAAUAAAGACAUUUCUGUUGAGAUCA
This is a long non-coding RNA of Oryzias melastigma (Indian medaka), 958 nucleotides long. RefSeq lists it as uncharacterized. Lineage: Eukaryota; Metazoa; Chordata; Actinopteri; Beloniformes; Adrianichthyidae. The record is from RefSeq and is a predicted model, not a curated record. The transcript has 4 exons.